Long non-coding RNA from Manis javanica (Malayan pangolin), 840 nucleotides. RefSeq lists it as uncharacterized. The record is from RefSeq and is a predicted model, not a curated record. NCBI's taxonomy places the organism in Eukaryota, Metazoa, Chordata, Mammalia, Pholidota, Manidae.
GGUUUUGCCAGCCCCAGGCUCCGGUGGUGCAGGGCAGCAGCGGUGGCAAGCCAGCCGUCGGCCACUUCCCCCAGACCUCGCCUGGGACAGUUUUGCAGUAGGGUACCUCCAGUGAGACCCUGCCCCUGAACAGCUUUCCCUGGCUCCGUGGAGAUGGUUUCCAGCAAGUCCCACAGGCACAGCCCCACGGCGACUCCUCUGCCACCCUGUGGGCCACAGCAGCAUGCCAUCUGGUCUGGACCUGUAACUGGGGCCGAGCUAUCUCAGCCCUCGGUGCUUUCCGGGGGACAUGGGAGCCCACACUGCCACCAGUCUUCAGCUCCCUGGAGAUCUCUCACGAGCAUCUGCUUCCCAGUCCCUCCAGCUUUGGCCUUUGCUGGAUUAGAGUCCUUAGUGUCUGAAAGAGAGAGACUGCCGAUGGGCGCAGCAGUGUUCUUCUGAAUGGGCAGUGAAGACUGCUACCCUGUCGUUUUGCCUUCUUCGUGCCUUAGAAUCCACAGCACUAAAAGGGUGAUUGAUCCUGAUUAUGAAGGAAGAAAUUGUCGCUGCCACACAGUGGAGACAGAGAUUCCUGGGGGCAUCUCCCAGGACUGCCGGUCCAGAAACAAUAUUCACCAAAGGCUAAAGAGACUGGAUACAGGCAGAAUCACCAAGGACCUGGACCCCUCAUGAAUGAAGAUCACCUUACUGGGUAAAGAUCCCUGAGGGCAGACAGAGAAUGGGUGGGUAGUGGAAGAAAUAAGCUCUAAGUACCAGAUUAGGGGUGCCGGAUAAAAUACAGGAUGCCCAGAAUUUCAAAGAAACUAUUUUUUUUCUUUAGUAAAAGUAUGUCCUAAUGUU